UAGCUCAGUGGUAGAGUGUGUGUUUAGCAUGUACAAGGGCCUGGGUUCAAUCCUCAG
Molecule: transfer RNA, 57 nt
Filed under: Marmota marmota marmota (Alpine marmot)
Lineage: Eukaryota; Metazoa; Chordata; Mammalia; Rodentia; Sciuridae
Also listed under: 4 other names
Rfam family: tRNA
About the family: Transfer RNA (tRNA) molecules are approximately 80 nucleotides in length. Their secondary structure includes four short double-helical elements and three loops (D, anti-codon, and T loops).
Source: Rfam by way of RNAcentral